Molecule: ribosomal RNA, 196 nt
Filed under: uncultured bacterium
Lineage: Bacteria
Description: partial 16S ribosomal RNA
Rfam family: Bacterial small subunit ribosomal RNA
Source: RNAcentral
ACCUCGACACCUACGGGGGCAGCAGUGGGGAAUAUUGCACAAUGGGGGAAACCCUGAUGCAGCGACGCCGCGUGGAGGAAGAAGGUCUUCGGAUUGUAAACUCCUGUUGUUGGGGAAAAAGAGGAUGGUACCCAACAAGGAAGUGACGGCUAACUACGUGCCAGUAGCCGCGGUAAUCUGAGCGGGCUGGCAAGGC